UCAUACAAUUCUGCCAUCUGGAUUAUGAAGAUUUUUGGUAUCACCACAUGGAAAGUCCACAAUAUACAAUGGCUCACCCCAGAUGUUUUACUGAUGUUUUAUCAUUUUCUGAGCCCAUUUCUGUAAUCCAGCAACAGCUCAAGCCAAAACAUUUUACUGGAGAAGCAAAACAUGAAGCUCCUAUCCUGCAUCUGUACUCCCAUGAAUAACCUUUCAGACCCCACACACAGACUGAUAGAGUCAAGAAGCAGUACUGGGCGAAGAGGGCCUACAGAAAAUGCUCCAAAUGGAGGAUCUGCUCAAAAGCCAAGUGAACUCUGUCAAAAAACUAGGCUAGAGGAUUGCUCGUUGAACAUGAGAGACGAAAGGCUCCAAUGACCAUCACUGGCAAUAAGAAGGAACUGGAGAGGCGGUGGAUUGGUGGGGCCCUAUAUACAGUGCUAUGAAGGCACAACUCCAGGGGGCUCCAGAGCUGACCCGAAAGACACUGCUAUGGGAAAAACCUUCCGGCAAACUGUGCACAUGGCGCACACACACCUAAUUGGAAUCUAUAUGAGCAAGCACUCGAAGAAGAAUGAUCACUUCCUUAUGCUUAUUGAGAACCAAGGCUGAGGAAAGGUCAAAAAGAGUUCCUAGCGUGAAUUUUUGAGAAGCUGAUUGGGGCCAUUUCAAGAUCAAAUGUGAUGAAUAUUUAUGUAGUAACUGUACAAGUGACAACCUAGGAGAAUUCUAGACCAACGUAAUACAAGGAAUUGCAGCAGCGAUCUGGCCAUCUACAAAGUAUCAUAUUGCUCCUGACUUGGAAAUCUGGUUUCCUGGUGGAAGAAGGAUUUCAAAUUAGCAAUCAAAGAAAGAAAAAAGGCAUACAAGCAAGCAAAACAUAACAAAUAGUAAAAAUUUAAUGAUUAGUAAGGUGGUGAUACAAAGGAUUAUCAAAAAGACCAAAAACAGGAAAAUGGAGAAAGUUUUGUGGGAAAUUAAACAAAGAUUCAAAGCUUUCAGAAAUAUAAGUAAAUUCAAAGAAUGCAUGGAAUUUAAAAUAAAAGUAUACCUGGUCUUAUCAUAAACAAUGAAACAGAGGACUCUAACUUAGAAAGACUGACAUUUUAGCAAAAUAACUCCAAGGCCAGCAGUGAUAUGAAUCAAAACAGUGAGUUUUGUAGGGGGAAAUAGAAGGUUUAUUUAAGAUAAAUGUGAACUAUUAAAGGGUUAGAGAGACACUACUGAUGUGUUAAACAAAAAGUUGAGUGUGCAGAAGCUUAUUGCAGCCACUAGGAAAAGGAAGUAUACAGCUCCAGGCAAAGAUAAUUUAUGAAAUGCUUCAACGCUUGUCAGAAGGGAGUCUAAAGAUUCUGUUGCAGUUACACGAUGAGAUAGGGAAAAGGUCUGCUGCCAAUAGAACUGAAACAAGGAUUGGUGAUACCAGUUAGGAUACUGAGCAAGCUACAUACAAGCCCUGAUGCUUAUAGGCCUAUUUCCAGGGCCAGCUCUAGGCACGUGCUUGGGGUGGCACAUUUUCAGGGGUGGCAUUCCGGCCAACUAGGGGCACUAGUUUUGGUCUUUGUGUCGGUAUAGAGUAUCUCAGUAAUUUACAUCAACAUAUAUAAUGACACUAGGGGGUUGUGCUACACUGAGGGGUUGUGCUAAUUUAACUAAAUCAGUGUGUCUAUCAGUGUAGUUAAGUCAGUCAAAAACUGGGUAUAGUUAGGCCCGUAGAAGUGGUCUACAUUGGGAAUUAGCCUGGUUUCAGCCAUCAGUGUAGCUACAACUCCCUAGUAUGUUUUUUUGUUUUGUUUUUUAUUUCCUACCAUUGGCAACAGUAGAGCUUGCCUCUGCUUGAAACUGGGGCAAAACUCCAGUGGUGUAAAUUGUAGCUUAUCUUCCAGAAGAGGUUUUCACAGGUGAAGCUAUACUGCGGGCCAAAAUCAAGGCUAAUUUCUAAUGUAGAUAAGGCCCUAUUCUCUGUGUUAGAUUGCAGUGUUUUUAACAAUUAUUUAUCUUUCCCAUCCAAAACUAAAUAUAUAAACAACUUCUUGCUGAACAAGCAGAACAUAAUGCAAGGUAUUCAAUCAGUUUUCCGUAACAUAUUGUCUUCACUUAGAUAUUGAACUAGGUAACUGGAAUAUUUUGCUCCUUCAAAGUCCUGGGCCAAAUUCAUUGAUGGUAUAAUUUAAUGGAAAGCAAUAGAUUUACUCUAGAGAUUAAUUUGACUUGUUAACUAAUUAAUCCUCACAACCACCUGUGAAGUAUAUUAGGUAAAUAGGUACUAUUAUCCCUGUUUUACAGGUAGGGAGGGAUUUGACUUGCCCAAAGC
Molecule: long non-coding RNA, 2314 nt
Organism: Malaclemys terrapin pileata
Lineage: Eukaryota; Metazoa; Chordata; Testudines; Emydidae
Exons: 4
Source: RefSeq, a predicted model, not a curated record